This 560-nucleotide ribosomal RNA is filed under the name uncultured bacterium. RNAcentral describes it as "partial 16S ribosomal RNA". It matches the Rfam family "Bacterial small subunit ribosomal RNA", at positions 355 to 902 of the family's 1533-position model. The record is from RNAcentral.
UGGGGAAUAUUGCACAAUGGGCGCAAGCCUGAUGCAGCCAUGCCGCGUGUGUGAAGAAGGCCUUCGGGUUGUAAAGCACUUUCAGCGAGGAGGAAGGUGGUGAGCUUAAUACGCUCAUCAAUUGACGUUACUCGCAGAAGAAGCACCGGCUAACUCCGUGCCAGCAGCCGCGGUAAUACGGAGGGUGCAAGCGUUAAUCGGAAUUACUGGGCGUAAAGCGCACGCAGGCGGUUUGUUAAGUCAGAUGUGAAAUCCCCGGGCUCAACCUGGGAACUGCAUUUGAAAACUGGCAAGCUAGAGUCUCGUAGAGGGGGGUAGAAUUCCAGGUGUAGCGGUGAAAUGCGUAGAGAUCUGGAGGAAUACCGGUGGCGAAGGCGGCCCCCUGGACGAAGACUGACGCUCAGGUGCGAAAAGCGUGGGGAGCAAAACAGGAUUAGAUACCCUGGUAGUCCACGCUGUAAAACGAUGUCGAUUUUGGAGGUUGUGCCCUUGAGGCGUGGCUUCCGGAGCUAACGCGUUAAAUCGACCGCCUGGGGAGUACGGCCGCAAGGUUAAAACUU